CAUGACAGAUCAGCAUUUGGCUCCUUGUCAAACCUGGAGCAACGCUUACUCACCAAUUUUUCUAGCCCUGAAAAUUCUCCUGCAGGCCUUAAGGGGGCACCAUAUCCUGGUCCGUUCAGACAACAUGACCGAGGUGGCCUUUAUCAAUCACCAAGGCUGUCUCAGGUCAUACUCCCUUCACAUCUUGGCUCGAUGCCUCCUUUUAUGGGCACAAUGCAAACUCCUCUCGCUGAGAGCAGUUCAUGUGCCAGGCAGACUGAACCAAGGGAUAGACAUGCUGUCCAGGGGCAAUGUGGCUCCAGGAGAAUGGAGACUACAUCUCCAAAUGGUUCAAAUGACCUGGUCUGUCUUCGGCAGGGCAGAGGUGGACAUCUUAGUCUCAGAAGACAACUUCCACUGCCCAAUUUACUUUUGGAAACAGCGAAAUGCCCUGGCCCACGACUGGCCCAACGCUUACCAGUAUGCCUUCCCCCUGGUUGCCCUGCUUCCUCAGGACAUCAGAUGGGUCAGGAAAAUCAGAUGUUCGGUCCUCUUGGUGGCCCCACUCUGGAGGAAUCAAAUGUGGUUCAACGAGUUGAUUCAUCUGCUAUUGGCAGCCCCCUGGCCAAUAACACUGUGGACGGACCUUCUCUUGCAAACGAAGGCCAUGAUUCAGCAUCCCCGGCCAGAGCUGUGGAGCCUUCAUGUUUGGCCCCUUGACGGGAGUCACUGCAGCAACCAUUUUGGAGGCUAGAGCCCCAUCUACAAGACGUCUUUAUGCCCUUGGUCAGUCCUCUCUGGUGGUGUGCAGCCAUCGUGCGAAUCAUUCUCUCGUGGCUGGCCAGUCAAUCGGCAGAAAUGACCAAGUCGUUAAGUUUAUGAGGAGAGCUUGGAGAUUUCCGCUUCGUCCUCAUUCUGUGCAGACUUUGGACUUAUCUAUAGUCCUCAGGUCGACUUCGGGGCCCUGCCUUUGAGCUGCUCCUGUCGACCGACUUGCAAUGCCUGUCACUUAAGACCAUCCUCCUUCUGGCUUUAGCGUUGGGCAAGCAAGUGGGUGC
Cyprinus carpio (common carp) is the source of this 1037-nucleotide long non-coding RNA. Lineage: Eukaryota; Metazoa; Chordata; Actinopteri; Cypriniformes; Cyprinidae. The record is from Ensembl.